Molecule: long non-coding RNA, 1515 nt
Filed under: Eptatretus burgeri (inshore hagfish)
Lineage: Eukaryota; Metazoa; Chordata; Myxini; Myxiniformes; Myxinidae
Description: lncRNA (ENSEBUG00000017505.1)
Source: RNAcentral
AUGGAAGCGAUGAAGACAGGUUUCGUUUCCAAGAGCGGCGCGAGUAUCCUCGAGAACAUGAACGCAGCUACGAGCGAGACCGUGAGCGCAGCAGUUACGAGCGCGAGCGGCAUCAUGGCAGCCGCGAACGCAGUCGGCCUGAGCCAGAAGACCGGCAGCACCGUGAGCGGCGGCAUCGAGAGAAGGACGAUGGCUCUGUGUCUGGUAACAGCAGCAGUGGCCGGCACAAAUCAUCACGACGGCGACACCAUGAGGAGGACCUGGAGGGAGAAGGCCAUAGACGUCACAAACACAAGAAGUCAAAACGGAACCGCGACGAUAAGGAAACCGAGGGUGGGGAGGAGCAUGCCGUUGAAGCGGAACCACCUGCUCCUGGGGAAACCGCUUGAGGAAGAAAAACCCAUGUCCACCUUCACUCUCUCCUCCCUGUGUGCACGCUCCUCACCCUUGCCAAUCCCUCGAGAAAGCCAAGCUUCAAAAUGUCCCCUCUCCUUUCAGCGCAAAACAUUGGCCACUGUCCUGUGAAGCCGCUGGCUUUCCACAUGCAAGAUGCUUUGACGAGUGGUGAGGCUCAAAGUCCUCAGGUUGACAUGAAACCUUUGUGCCGACCUGAUGUGUCAUUCUAUCCACAUUGACUUAACCCCAGUGGGCAAUUAUUUGUACAAUUGAUUUUCCUAAAUUUAUAGGUCCUUCUGAGAUGCGCACAUUGAUUUUUCAAAAUAUUUUGGUACAUUACCAGUCUCUUUUGCUCCACCAGAGCAUACUCCUUCAAACCCAUGUAGUUAAUACAGAUUUUGCUCUUCCUGCUUGCAUUUCAGAAGAAUUUCCCUCUCCCCCCACUCUGUAAGAAUAAUUGACAGCCUAUUUGAGUUCCAAAAAGUUCACAUUUGGAUCCAACAGAAUACUCGGUUCUUUGAAUGAUCGUUGUCUGUCUCCCUUGCUGGACAAGAUAAACAAUGGAUUUUAUCAAGUUAAAGUCGAUGAGUAUGUUUACCCACGUGAUAAGCGAGUUGCAGCUGAUGCGUCAAGCUGAAGUCUUCCAUCGGAGCAAAAGGGCUUUUGCUCCGACGAAGGACUUGUGCUUGCUCCUCUUUUCCCAGGGUGGUGAAGAUGCUUUGUCGAUACAAUGCAGUUGACAUUUUGAUAACCUGUACAACGUUUUUGUUCAAGGUUGUGAUUUUCUGUCAUUUGGGAAAUCAUGGAAUUUAACUCAUUGGCCCAAGCGUUUUGAUUUUUCCGAGCGUGCAAUGCCCUCUGUGACUCUAUCCUUUUUGUUUUUGUUUUUUAAUUAAAAUGUCUAAACUUGGUGUUCUCUCUGUUUACCCCCGUCUCAUCUCUUCACUAUUUCGGCCAGGUAUGUGAAAUGAGUGAAUUCUUUCCAAUAAGUUACUUUGGGUAUGUUCUGGUAAUGUUCAUUAUAGGAUGGUGCACAGAAUCGGAUCGGCUCGGUGUUUCAUAGCGAGGGAGUUUCUCACAAAAUGCACGGUCCCUCAGAUGGACAGUACUGGCGCCUUG